This 347-nucleotide unclassified non-coding RNA is filed under the name soil metagenome. RNAcentral describes it as "partial contains 5.8S ribosomal RNA, internal transcribed spacer 2, and large subunit ribosomal RNA". The stretch from base 1 to 120 matches the Rfam family "5.8S ribosomal RNA", at positions 35 to 154 of the family's 154-position model. The record is from RNAcentral.
GAUGAAGAACGCAGCGAAAUGCGAUAAGUAAUGUGAAUUGCAGAAUUCAGUGAAUCAUCGAGUCUUUGGACGCACAUUGCGCCCCCUGGUAUUCCGGGGGGCAUGCCUGUCCGAGCGUCAUUGCCGCCCUCAAGCACGGCUUGUGUGUUGGGCCCCCGCCCCCCGGCUUCGGGGGGCGGGCCCGAAAGGCAGCGGCGGCACCGCGUCCGGUCCUCGAGCGUAUGGGGCUUCGUCACCCGCUCUGUAGGCCCGGCCGGCGCCCGCCGGCGACCCCAAUCAAUCUUUCCAGGUUGACCUCGGAUCAGGUAGGGAUACCCGCUGAACUUAAGCAUAUCAAUAACGGAGGA